GGACAACCUGCCCUCGGGUGGGGGAUAACCCCGGGAAACUGGGGCUAAUCCCCCAUAGGGGAUGGGUACUGGAAUGUCCCAUCUCCGAAAGCGCUUAGCGCCCGAGGAUGGGUCUGCGGCGGAUUAGGUUGUUGGUGGGGUAACGGCCCACCAAGCCGAAGAUCCGUACGGGCCAUGAGAGUGGGAGCCCGGAGAUGGACCCUGAGACACGGGUCCAGGCCCUACGGGGCGCAGCAGGCGCGAAACCUCCGCAAUGCGGGAAACCGCGACGGGGUCAGCCGGAGUGCUCGCGCAUCGCGCGGGCUGUCGGGGUGCCUAAAAAGCACCCCAUAGCAAGGGCCGGGCAAGGCCGGUGGCAGCCGCCGCGGUAAUACCGGCGGCCCGAGUGGCGGCCACUUUUAUUGGGCCUAAAGCGUCCGUAGCCGGGCUGGUAAGUCCUCCGGGAAAUCUGGUCGCUUAACGAUCAGACUGCCGGAGGAUACUGCCUGCCUAGGGACCGGGAGAGGCCGGGGGUAUUCCCGGGGUAGGGGUGAAAUCCUGUAAUCCCGGGAGGACCACCUGUGGCGAAGGCGCCCGGCUGGAACGGGUCCGACGGUGAGGGACGAAGGCCAGGGGAGCGAACCGGAUUAGAUACCCGGGUAGUCCUGGCUGUAAACGAUGCGGACUAGGUGUCACCGAAGCUACGAGCUUCGGUGGUGCCGGAGGGAAGCCGUUA
Molecule: ribosomal RNA, 715 nt
Filed under: uncultured archaeon
Lineage: Archaea
Description: bacterial SSU rRNA
Rfam family: Archaeal small subunit ribosomal RNA
Source: RNAcentral